This 68-nucleotide transfer RNA is filed under the name Heliconius melpomene (postman butterfly). RNAcentral's name for it is "tRNA HMEL012705". The stretch from base 5 to 60 matches the Rfam family "tRNA", at positions 7 to 64 of the family's 71-position model. From Rfam's summary of the family: Transfer RNA (tRNA) molecules are approximately 80 nucleotides in length. Their secondary structure includes four short double-helical elements and three loops (D, anti-codon, and T loops). Lineage: Eukaryota; Metazoa; Arthropoda; Insecta; Lepidoptera; Nymphalidae. The record is from RNAcentral.
ACAUAUGGCUUAGUCGGUCAGAGCGUUUGGUUUCCAAGAGGUGCGAGUUCAAAUCCCGUUCAAAUUUA